RNAcentral lists this long non-coding RNA (263 nucleotides) under Gossypium barbadense (sea-island cotton). RNAcentral's name for it is "long non-coding RNA (GBAR_LNC005583)". The record is from RNAcentral. Lineage: Eukaryota; Viridiplantae; Streptophyta; Magnoliopsida; Malvales; Malvaceae.
UCGGCCAUGAUCGAUUUCAUGGUCUAAGGCCAUUUUGGGCCAUGGUGGGUUGAAAUGGGCUGUGUGGGCCCCACACGGGUAAACCACACGGAUGGAUGGAGAAUAUUGGGCCAGGUGGUGUAAUCCACACGGCCAAGGCCAUUUCUGGGCUAUGUGGGCCACACGGGCAUGUGGGCCUACAUAGGCCCGUAUUAUGGGCCUUGGGCCUAUUUGUACUGUUUGACUGUUAAGGUUGCACGGAUCGCCCAAGACGACUGUGGGCC